AUCUAAGUUUCAUACGACUCUCUUCUUAUACAGAGUUUUGGGCGUUACAUCUUUAGAUGGACCUGAACUGGUGAUAUUUUUACUUCUAACAGUCCUCUCAUCUUCCUUUUCUUAAGUACACCUAGGUCGUUGUGACCCAGACAAUAACUACUAACAUACAUGCUAGUCAACAGAUGGUUUACUUCAAAUGA
Molecule: long non-coding RNA, 191 nt
Organism: Sander lucioperca (pikeperch)
Lineage: Eukaryota; Metazoa; Chordata; Actinopteri; Perciformes; Percidae
Exons: 2
Source: RefSeq, a predicted model, not a curated record